GGGUCAGUAGGUUGGUCGUGCCACCGGUACGUACUGGUCUCACUGAUUCCUCCUUCCUGAAGAACCGUAAUGCCAUUUAUUUGGUGUUGCGGGGAAACAGGACUGUGACUUUGAAAAAAUUAGAGUGUUUAAAGCAAGCUAACGCUUGAAUACAUUAGCAUGUAAUAAUGAAAUAGGACGAUCGAUCCUAUUUUGUUGGUUUCUAGGAUUGACGUA
Molecule: ribosomal RNA, 216 nt
Filed under: Glomeromycotina sp.
Lineage: Eukaryota; Fungi; Glomeromycota
Description: partial small subunit ribosomal RNA
Rfam family: Eukaryotic small subunit ribosomal RNA (bases 40-216)
Source: RNAcentral